CCAGAGAGAAAAGAUGAGGCGGCACCAGGGUAGUGAGUGAUGUGAAUUCCUGUCAGAGCAGAAAUUGUGCUAGGGGAGGUCUCUAGACAGAAAAAAAAAAAAAAUCUUUGGGUUGGGGAUGGGUGAAGAGUACAAAGAAAAAGAAAAGAAGGGAUGAGUUUUAAAAAAUGCAGGAAGAAGGCAGUAAGCAAUUAGAGAAGACUCAGUGUGUGCACAGUUGUCAGUCCCUGCUGGAAAUGCCCGCCAGUGGCCAGAAGUGGGUCAUGAGUGUAAUGAGCCAGUCAGCCUGACAUCUGCACUCUUUAGUCCAGCCUCAGGUUUCCACCUGGAUCUAGCAACUUGCGAGCUUCAGAGCAGAGAGCCAUCAUUUUUGUGAAGACUUCAAGAAAACUGGGCAAGAAUGAUGCAAAGUUCAUCCAAACCAUGGCUACUGCUUGUGAAACUUCCCAGAGCACCUUUGAUCCUGGCAGUGGAUUAGUAUGUAAUGGGAAGACAGCCUGGAUUCUGAAAAGCCCAGAUUCUGCAAUUGAAGAGAAUCAUACAUACCUGACUGGCAUGGGGCUAGAGAUUUUUCCACCAAAACCCACUGUGAUCAUGUUUAUUUCAUUUCAUCCAGUAGACUGGACUCUCUUCAUAUGCACUUUUUUCAUCUCCAGCUUCAGGCAGAUUAACUCAGCAAACUUGGAAGCCAGAUGAUGAAAACUGAAAAACUGUAAGAUGGAAGGGAUAUGGAACUCCAGUUCACUGCUUGAAGAAGGGCAGUCAGAGUUAACAGUUUUAGACUUUAUAAGGAGAAAUAAAUUUAUGUCAUGUGAACAAUUAUAUAUUUUAGAGUUUGUUUUUCAAAACAGCUUUACUAUAACUGCUAAAUGGAAAAAUGCAUGCAUUUCUCAAUUACCAGAUUACAACUCAAACUGUAUUUUGUUUCCAGUACUAGAGACACAAGACAUGAGUUAAUCAAAUUUUUUUGUGUGUAGCAGCCUGGGUAAUUCAUGUUUUUAAGUCCCUUUAAUAUCUUAUUGGUUGUGCAUUCUAGGUUUUAAACAACUUGUUUAGAAUGAACUUUUAGAACCACACCCAUUUCUAAGUUGGGAACUGCUUACAUAGCAAAGGAUUUAUUGCUGAAUGAUCAAUUUGAUAUGCUUGUCAUAACUGCUAAACUAUACAGACAUGGGCCAUUUAUUCCAGACAACAUAAUGUCUGAAUUGGAUUGAAGAAACUGGAUCAAUAGACCUUAACCAUCGACCUGAAAAUGGUCACUCCAUACAAUCGUGGAAAAUCAAGUAGUCCAGUUGUCUGAAAAAAUAACAAUUGGCAGACAAAUUACUUUAUCAGUCAUCUUUGGUUUUAGUGGGAAAUUGUAUGGUUUUAAUUUCAAAAAGGAUAUGGUUCAUUAACCUUAUAGUGACUGAUAUUAAAAAAUUGAAAUGUAUGUUAUAUCACAAAGCUGAUGGAAUGGAGUUCAACUAGAUGCGUUUUUUUUUAACAAAAAAAAAUAAUAAAUUUGUUUUAAGAAGU
RNAcentral lists this long non-coding RNA (1518 nucleotides) under Sus scrofa (pig). RNAcentral describes it as "lncRNA (ENSSSCG00025074387.1)". Lineage: Eukaryota; Metazoa; Chordata; Mammalia; Artiodactyla; Suidae. The record is from RNAcentral.